UAACGUCCUGCCAAACCCGUCCC
RNAcentral lists this non-coding RNA (23 nucleotides) under Arabidopsis thaliana (thale cress). Lineage: Eukaryota; Viridiplantae; Streptophyta; Magnoliopsida; Brassicales; Brassicaceae. The record is from RNAcentral.